Molecule: ribosomal RNA, 347 nt
Filed under: uncultured soil bacterium
Lineage: Bacteria
Description: bacterial SSU rRNA
Rfam family: Bacterial small subunit ribosomal RNA
Source: RNAcentral
AGAGUGAACGCUGGCGGUAGGCCUAACACAUGCAAGUCGAACGGCAGCACAGUAGGAGCUUGCUCUUACGGGUGGCGAGUGGCGGACGGGUGAGGAAUACAUCGGAAUCUACCUUUUGGUGGGGGAUAACGUAGGGAAACUUACGCUAAUACCGCAUACGCCCUUCGGGGGAAAGCCGGGGACCAGCAAUGGCCUGGCGCUGAUAGAUGAGCCGAUGUCGGAUUAGCUAGUUGGUGAGGUAAUGGCUCACCAAGGCGACGAUCCGUAGCUGGUCUGAGAGGAUGAUCAGCCACACUGGAACUGAGACACGGUCCAGACCUCCGUACGGGAGGCAGCAGGUGGGGAAA